Molecule: ribosomal RNA, 447 nt
Filed under: uncultured bacterium
Lineage: Bacteria
Description: partial 16S ribosomal RNA
Rfam family: Bacterial small subunit ribosomal RNA
Source: RNAcentral
AACGAACGCUGGCGGCAGGCUUAACACAUGCAAGUCGAACGCACCGCAAGGUGAGUGGCAGACGGGUGAGUAACACGUGGGGAUCUGCCCAAUGGUACGGAAUAGCUCCGGGAAACUGGAAUUAAUACCGUAUGAGCCCGCAAGGGGAAAGAUUUAUCGCCAUUGGAUGAACCCGCGUCGGAUUAGCUAGUUGGUGUGGUAAAGGCGCACCAAGGCGACGAUCCGUAGCUGGUCUGAGAGGAUGAUCAGCCACACUGGGACUGAGACACGGCCCAGACUCCUACGGGAGGCAGCAGUGGGGAAUAUUGGACAAUGGGCGCAAGCCUGAUCCAGCCAUGCCGCGUGAGUGAUGAAGGCCUUAGGGUUGUAAAGCUCUUUCGCCGACGAAGAUAAUGACGGUAGUCGGAGAAGAAGCCCCGGCUAACUUCGUGCCAGCCGCCGCGGUAA